CGGCUCGGUCUGCGCGCUGCUACCGGGAGGGCAGCUGUGUGAGGGGAAAGAACUGCAGAAAGUGAUGGGGCGUUUCCACAGGACUUCUCUUGGGAAUGCAUGAGUGGGCAGUUGACGUCAUCCGCGGAUAUGCAUUUACCCAUCUGCACCUGAGCAAGAAAAAGCAAAAAGCAAUAGCAAAGAGUGAGACUCUUCCCCUUCACCAGAAAGUAACCUGAGACCACAGCAGACAACAGUGAAUUAGACUUCUGUAUCUUUUGUCAAAGUAUUUGUCCAUAAUAUAAGGUAAAGCCACACAAAGAAAAAGGAAAAUGCAUAAAGUGAGAAAUCAAAAGGGUUCAACUAAAAAAUAAAAAAGCAUAGAAAAUAUACUCAUGCAGAUGUAAUUGAAGCAGUCAAAAAUGUUGCUAGCAGAGUCACCCCUGGCCCAUGGGUGAGCUGUGUGACACCAUCCCCCUGCACGGCUCGGGUUCAUGGCAGGAAAUCUCCAGGACAGCAGUGAUCUCCAGUAGCUGCUGAGUAAAAUUCUGAACUUACCGCUCCUGUUUCUGCAACAUCCAUAUAAUUGCCCAUACAUUUGCAAGAUGAACUAGAAUAAAUUCCUUUUUCUCAUGGCUGUGCAACGCCCCAGAAGGUUCUCCAAAUCUUGGAACUGCCCCUCAGUGUACAUGGCAAGGCUCUGGUCAGAACCCAGGGCUGUGUGCAUGGCUUUCAAGUGGCGUGCUGUAUUCAGCUACAACACGCAGUUCUUCUCUGUUUGCCAAGGAGAAAAGCUACCAUAUCUCUGACUGAUCCCAGCAUUUCACAGUAAGAACUUCUGCAGGCCUUGAAAACAGCAAGAAAUGCAUUUCCAACUGACGGAAGUAUCAUGAGAACAAGAGCUGUAUCUCUGGGAUGCUUGUCAGUGAUGGCAAAACAGAGAGACCACCAAUUCAAUUUCAAAACUGAUGCUAACAAUUCAGAACUAGUGGAAAUGUUUUCUCUAUUGUGUACAAAUGUGCACAUCUUGCUGUGACUGGUAACCUGACACAAGGUACUGGAAAGUAAAAAGCUGUCAGAUACCACUUCAAUCACUGUCUCUCCUGGAGCCGUGCAAUAUGCUGUAGAGUUUAUUAAAUUACUUCACUAAUUCUGGGAAAAUAUUUGCCUGUCUGUAUUUUUUUCUGUGAAGAUUUGUAUCUCUGCAAGCAACCAGUGCCUCCUCAAACAAUGAAACAAAGCUCACCCCACAGUCAGAAAUAUACAGAAGUUGGCUCUUUGGUUUGUCUUUGUUUCAGAUGGAGAACUGAGCCUUGAUACUGAAAAAAUACUCUGUUUUCCUGAUUUGGAAUGAAUUCUCUCAUUCUUGACAACUUCACAGGACUGUGCUUGUUUUAAUCUGCUUUAGUGAAAUGGAUCCCUCAGCAGCAGUGGUCUUCAUCGGCUGAAGGAACUUCAUUUCUUCGUAACUGCGACAUCUCAAUCCCUGCUCAGCAAUGCUCAUGUGAUGUACGUGCAGUUCUCUGCACAGUAUUUGACAUGCAGUGCGAGCUGCCCAUCUCUCACAGCCCGCACUGCUCUGCUGGGCUGCGGUGGGGCUGGGGAAUGGAAGAACUCUGCACGACAGUCUGUAGUUGCUAUGGCAAAACAACAUCAUUUAAAUAGCAAGUGAAUGGACAGGGAGCCUCGCUGAAGGCACUGCGCUGUAAUUCAGUGUGCGUGAGUGACAACUGCUGCUUCGAGCAUCUGCUAUGACAUUAACUUACUGCUCAAUAAAAAAGAACUAAUUAACUGUCACGGCUAAUUGCUAAGGGUAAUGUAUGCUUUGCUCAACGCAGGAAGACACACGUUUUUCAGGGGCAGGAAGAAAAUCAUGCCAUAUUGGGUGAGUUGUGAAUACUGACAACAUUCUGUCACUGCAUAUUAUCCAAUGUGCUAUAUUUGCUUCACUUAUGCAAAACCAUCCAAUCAGAUCUAGGUCUAAAAGGGUGUGACUGAGAGGGAACACCCAAGGUUACAGAACAUCAACAGGAUAAACCUCAGUCUUCUUUCUAAGGUAUAAGCAAGUAAAACUUGGAUCUGACUGUAUUCUAAGUGGGGAAAAAAAACCUCACAAAAAUGUGAAUGAGUUUAAGUGAAUAAUGGCAUAAAGGGUAAUGAAGCCUGAAGGACUCACUCUGACAGCAGCUUGUUUACAGGGAAGCAGACAGUGAAACCAAGAAAACCUCACAACGCAAUACUAAUGAAUACGAAGUGUAGGCAAGGCCAGGCAUAUAGAGUGGUGAACAGAAGGCACCAACAAACAGUGACAGUCAACAGGUCUAAGGAACAUAAAAACAACUUCUUUAAGCUGCAACAGAAUAAAAGCUGCUUCUUAAACACAGAGAACAAAAGACAAACUGGAAGUAGUACAAAUCUGGUAUUAAUUUAUAAGCAUAAUAUUUGAUUUAACCAAGAAGAAAAAGCGUUCAA
Molecule: long non-coding RNA, 2451 nt
Filed under: Gallus gallus (chicken)
Lineage: Eukaryota; Metazoa; Chordata; Aves; Galliformes; Phasianidae
Source: RNAcentral